Molecule: ribosomal RNA, 253 nt
Filed under: uncultured bacterium
Lineage: Bacteria
Description: partial 16S ribosomal RNA
Rfam family: Bacterial small subunit ribosomal RNA
Source: RNAcentral
UACGGAGGGGGCUAGCGUUGUUCGGAAUCACUGGGCGUAAAGGGUGCGUAGGCGGGUCUUUAAGUCAGGGGUGAAAUCCUGGAGCUCAACUCCAGAACUGCCUUUGAUACUGAGGAUCUUGAGUUCGGGAGAGGGGAGUGGAACUGCGAGUGUAGAGGUGAAAUUCGUAGAUAUUCGCAAGAACACCAGUGGCGAAGGCGGCUCACUGGCCCGAUACUGACGCUGAGGCACGAAAGCGUGGGGAGCAAACAGG